This 492-nucleotide ribosomal RNA is filed under the name uncultured bacterium. RNAcentral's name for it is "partial 16S ribosomal RNA". It matches the Rfam family "Bacterial small subunit ribosomal RNA", at positions 29 to 507 of the family's 1533-position model. The record is from RNAcentral.
AGUGAACGCUGGCGGUAGGCCUAACACAUGCAAGUCGAACGGCAGCACAGCAAGAGCUUGCUCUUACGGGUGGCGAGUGGCGGACGGGUGAGGAAUACAUCGGAAUCUACUUUUUCGUGGGGGAUAACGUAGGGAAACUUACGCUAAUACCGCAUACGACCUACGGGUGAAAGCAGGGGAUCUUCGGACUUUGCGCGAUUGAAUGAGCCGAUGUCGGAUUAGCUAGUUGGCGGGGUAAAGGCCCACCAAGGCGACGAUCCGUAGCUGGUCUGAGAGGAUGAUCAGCCACACUGGAACUGAGACACGGUCCAGACUCCUACGGGAGGCAGCAGUGGGGAAUAUUGGACAAUGGGCGCAAGCCUGAUCCAGCCAUACCGCGUGGGUGAAGAAGGCCUUCGGGUUGUAAAGCCCUUUUGUUGGGAAAGAAAAGCAGCAGGUUAAUACCCCGCUGUUCUGACGGUACCCAAAGAAUAAGCACCGGCUAACUUCGUG